GAGGGUAUAGCUCAAUUGGUAGAGCACAUGCUUAACAUGCAUGAGGUCCUGAGUUCAAUCCCCAGUACCUCUG
Molecule: transfer RNA, 73 nt
Filed under: Camelus bactrianus (Bactrian camel)
Lineage: Eukaryota; Metazoa; Chordata; Mammalia; Artiodactyla; Camelidae
Also listed under: 2 other names
Rfam family: tRNA
About the family: Transfer RNA (tRNA) molecules are approximately 80 nucleotides in length. Their secondary structure includes four short double-helical elements and three loops (D, anti-codon, and T loops).
Source: Rfam by way of RNAcentral